Molecule: long non-coding RNA, 258 nt
Filed under: Malus domestica (apple)
Lineage: Eukaryota; Viridiplantae; Streptophyta; Magnoliopsida; Rosales; Rosaceae
Description: long non-coding RNA (MDOM_LNC000087)
Source: RNAcentral
GAAGAAACCAUCUUUGGCGUAGUUUUGGUUUCUUUUAAUUCAAAGAUUUCUAACUACAACUAAAAUGUGAUUCAAUGUUUGGACAUAAUAUGGGUUUCCGAAACCAUUAUCAAGAUAGUCUUGAUAAUAUAUGUCCAAGACUAGGAAUCACAAGACUUGUAAAUUGUAGAGAUCUAUCCAUCAUGAAUCUUAGCAAGCUGGUGGGAGCUAUAAGCGUCUUAUAAGAGAAAGAUCAAAUUGUUGAUUCCUCAUAAGAUG